Molecule: long non-coding RNA, 798 nt
Organism: Mastomys coucha (southern multimammate mouse)
Lineage: Eukaryota; Metazoa; Chordata; Mammalia; Rodentia; Muridae
Exons: 2
Source: RefSeq, a predicted model, not a curated record
GAAGACAAAUCCUUUCUUUCAGAGCUCAGGAAACCCCACAGAAGAGGAGGUGGAAAGAAUCUAAGAGCCAAAGGGGAAGGUAGACACCAAGAAAACAAGGCUCUCUAAAUCAACAUGAACAAAACUCCCAUGAACUUACAGAGAUUGAAGCAGCAUACACAGGAUUGCACCAGGUUUCAAAGGGUGGAUCUGCUAACAGAUAUGCUUAAGAAUCACAUACCCAUCACACAGGAAAACCAGAGAACCAGCUGACCGGAUGCAGGCUGUAGUGUGUUCCCUGAGUGAUAGCAAGGUGCCAACACUGCCAGGAGAGCUUCCCCACUCAGCUGUUGUGCCUUCCAAGUCAAAAGGACAGACUGAUCUCUAUGGACUUUCCUACCAGGCUAAGAAAUGUCUGCUGUCUUUCUAAGUGAAGCUUUUAACAAAACACACUUGAGCCAGUAAAACUUUGUUGUGUUGUGUUUAUUCCACUGAAAACCUAAAGCCUGCACCCCAAAGGAGCCUGCAGGCAGGGUGGGCACUGCCCCUUCCCCUGCCCGCUAUGUACAUUCACAGUUCUGAUGUGCGGACUGAGGUUCCUAGUGAGAGUCAUCAGGAGGAUGAACAUCCGUCCCAGGUCUGCUCGGGAUUCCUUCAACAUGACCAGUGGCAUUCCUCAGGAAUCCGUCACUUGCAGAUGGCAGGGCAGAGCCCCAGCCUUGGGACAUCUUAGUUCGCCAGUCUCCUUCAUUGGCCUUUUAGUGGCUUUUCUCUUCUGAAAAUUUGUACUCUACAGUUAUAAAACCAACCCGUUAGCUA